AUGAUCAUCCCUCUAAGAGAACUGCAAAAGGCCACAAACAACUUUCAUCCAACUCGUAAGCUUGGUGGUGGAGGUCAUGGUACUGUGUACAAAGGAAUUUUGUCAGGUUUGCAUGUUGUUGCCAUCAAAAAGUCAAAUAUUGUGGUCAAGAGAGAGAUUAACGAGUUUAUAAAUGAAGUUUCCAUACUCUCACAGAUCAAUCAUAGGAACAUCGUAAAGCUUUUUGGAUGUUGCCUUGAGACAGAAGUUCCUUUGUUGGCUUAUGAGUUCAUUUCCAAUGGAACCCUAUGUGGUUAUCUUCACAAGAAACCACUAAGAUCAAUACGUUGGCAAGACAUAUUAAGGAUUGCAACAGAAAUUGCCAAAGCUCUUGCUUACCUUCACUCUAGUAUUUCUGUCCCCGUAAUACAUAGAGAUAUCAAGUCUACUAAUAUACUUCUUGAUGAUGCGUUGACAACAAAGGUGUCUGACUUUGGAGCUUCAAGGCACACUCCCAAGGACCACACAUGGAUAACAUCCACGGUGCAAGGCACUUUAGGAUAUUUAGAUCCCACAUACUUUUACCAUGGUCGGCUAACAGAAAAAAGUGAUGUUUAUAGUUUUGGAGUAAUCCUUAUUGAGUUGCUUACAAGGCAAAUGCCAAUUAUGUACAAAUCUUCUAAAGGUGAUGGGCUUGCUGCACAGUUCAUUGAACUACAUGCAGAAGAUAAAUUGGUAGAGAAAUUGGAUUCACAAGUCAGGGAGGAGGAAGGUAGCCAAGUUGAAGAAGUAGCCGCUCUAGUUGUGUCAUGUACAAAGCUAAGAGUAAAGGCAUGA
This 816-nucleotide ribosomal RNA is filed under the name Triticum aestivum (bread wheat). RNAcentral describes it as "partial small subunit ribosomal RNA". Lineage: Eukaryota; Viridiplantae; Streptophyta; Magnoliopsida; Poales; Poaceae. The record is from RNAcentral.